RNAcentral lists this ribosomal RNA (490 nucleotides) under uncultured bacterium. Its description in RNAcentral is "partial 16S ribosomal RNA". It matches the Rfam family "Bacterial small subunit ribosomal RNA", at positions 30 to 507 of the family's 1533-position model. The record is from RNAcentral.
AUUGAACGCUGGCGGCAGGCCUAACACAUGCAAGUCGAACGGUAACACGAAGCAGCUUGCUGCUUCGCUGACGAGUGGCGGACGGGUGAGUAAUGUCUGGGAAGCUGCCUGAUGGAGGGGGAUAACUACUGGAAACGGUAGCUAAUACCGCAUAUUGUCGCAAGAGCAAAGAGGGGGACCUUCGGGCCUCUUGUCAUUCGUUGUGCCCAGAUGUGAUUAGCUUGUUGGUGGGGUAACGGCUCACCAAGGCGACGAUCCCUAGCUGGUCUGAGAGGAUGACCAGCCACACUGGAACUGAGACACGGCCCAGACUCCUACGGGAGGCAGCAGUGGGGAAUAUUGGACAAUGGGCGCAAGCCUGAUGCAGCCAUGCCGCGUGUAUGAAGAAGGCCUUCGGGUUGUAAAGGACUUUCGGCAGGGAGGAAGAGGGUAAUGUUAAUACCUACAGUUAUUGACGUUACCCGAAGAAGAAGCACCGGCUAACUCCGUG